Molecule: ribosomal RNA, 254 nt
Filed under: uncultured bacterium
Lineage: Bacteria
Description: partial 16S ribosomal RNA
Rfam family: Bacterial small subunit ribosomal RNA
Source: RNAcentral
UACGUAGGGAGCAAGCGUUGUUCGGAAUGACUGGGCGUAAAGGGUGCGUAGGCGGUUAUACAAGUUAGAAGUGAAAUACCCAGGGCUUAACUCGGGUGCUGCUUCUAAAACUGUAAGACUUGAGUACAGUAGAGGUUAGUGGAAUUCCUAGUGUAGCGGUGGAAUGCGUAGAUAUUAGGAGGAACACCAGAGGCGAAGGCGGCUAACUGGACUGAAACUGACGCUGAGGCACGAAAGUGUGGGGAGCAAACAGG